CCAAAAACGGAUAUUUAUAUCCUUCUUAGAUAAAUAAUACUACUUUAUUUGAUAGUAAUUAUUACUAAAGAUUAGGUUAAUUAUGGAUUAAAAAUAAAUACCAGUUAAUAACCUUACACAAUUACAGAAAUGUUAAUGUAGCCUAUACUUAAUACUAUGGUCAAUAUUGUGCCAGCAACCGCGGUCAUACUCUAAUAGUAAGUAAUACUAAUAUAAUAUUUCUAAUAGUGUAUGAUAUGAACUAGAGACUCUAUGGUAAAAUAUAAGUCUUAGGCAAAAUCAUUUAUCAUCUAGAUUAAAAAAUUAUGAAGAAAAACUAGGAUUAGAUACCCUACUAUUCAUAAUAUUCUUUUAGAUUUUUGAGGAGUAUUAAAAAAACUCAAAAAUAAUGGCGGCUUAUAAAACUCAUUAGGGGAGCUUACCUAAUAAAUGACAACCACCAAGAAUAAUGUACUUAGUCUUAUUAAGUUUGUAUGCCGUCGUCUUAAAUAUUCUUUUAGAGUAUUUUACUAAUUAUAUAUAAUUAAUAGACAGAUCUAGGUGCAGCCUAUAACUAAGUUAGGGCGAGCUACAAUAAUAAUUUAUUUACGAAUUAUCUGUUAUAUAAUACUUAUAAAGUUGGACUUAAACGUAAUCAAAUAAUAAAUAAGAAAUUAGAAUAUGAAUAAAAUUUUUAUAAGUGU
This 683-nucleotide ribosomal RNA is filed under the name Orcula sp. AL3543. RNAcentral describes it as "partial 12S ribosomal RNA". The record is from RNAcentral. RNAcentral also lists the same sequence under 1 other name. Lineage: Eukaryota; Metazoa; Mollusca; Gastropoda; Stylommatophora; Orculidae.